GUGAAUCAUCGAAUCUUUGAACGCAAAUUGCACUCUCCUCGGAUAGUAUGCCUGUUUGAGUGUCAGCCUAUAAAAAUCGACAUCGUUGCUGUUUCUCGGUGGCGUUCGUCGGAAAUUGGGGCAUCUUAAAGCCUUUUGUUUUAAGCGUCUUAAAAUUUUCUUUUAGUUCCAUGAACGUUUCUAAUAUCUAGUUCUUUACACGUUUAAGGUAUCGAUUUUGACUAUACGUGACCAUCAUAUCGUUUCGCUUCCAUAAUCUUUCAUUAACUGACCUCAGACAUUUAAGAGUAUCCGCUG
This 297-nucleotide unclassified non-coding RNA is filed under the name Glomus sp. Its description in RNAcentral is "partial contains 5.8S ribosomal RNA and internal transcribed spacer 2". The stretch from base 1 to 65 matches the Rfam family "5.8S ribosomal RNA", at positions 84 to 154 of the family's 154-position model. The record is from RNAcentral. Lineage: Eukaryota; Fungi; Glomeromycota; Glomeromycetes; Glomerales; Glomeraceae.